RNAcentral lists this long non-coding RNA (262 nucleotides) under Physcomitrium patens. RNAcentral describes it as "long non-coding RNA (PPAT_LNC006294)". The record is from RNAcentral. Lineage: Eukaryota; Viridiplantae; Streptophyta; Bryopsida; Funariales; Funariaceae.
GAAGAUCACAAGGAUACAAGACUCUUGUGCCCUUUCGAAAUGAAUGUGUUUUGGGUUGUUGAAUUGUGAAUCAAUCAAGCUGUCUAUCCAACCAAAUUACCCCUAAAUAAGAGAAACACGGAUUAUCUUCAAGGACUGGAAGAGUGCCAAAAACUCGAGCUUCGUCACAGCAUUCACCCAAAACACUGCGUUACCGUGGGCAUCGUGUUCCUCUAGUCCAUGAGGAGAACAGCUGAAGAGAUCGACCUUCCUGUUUUCUAGA